Molecule: ribosomal RNA, 444 nt
Filed under: uncultured Anaerolineaceae bacterium
Lineage: Bacteria; Bacillati; Chloroflexota; Anaerolineae; Anaerolineales; Anaerolineaceae
Description: bacterial SSU rRNA
Rfam family: Bacterial small subunit ribosomal RNA
Source: RNAcentral
ACAAGCAGCGGAGCGUGUGGUUUAAUUCGAUGUUACACGAAGAACCUUACCAGGGUUUGACAUGCAAGUGGUAGGAAACUGAAAAGGGACCGACCCUUCGGGGAGCUUGCACAGGUGCUGCAUGGCUGUCGUCAGCUCGUGUCGUGAGAUGUUCGGUUAAGUCCGCUAACGAGCGCAACCCUCACUGUGUGUUAUAUGUGUCACACGGGACUGCCGGUUUUAAGCCGGAGGAAGGUGGGAUGACGUCAAGUCAGCAUGGCCUUUAUAUCCUGGGCUACACACACGCUACAAUGGUCGGUACAAUAGGUUGCCAAGCCGCGAGGCGGAGCCAAUCCAAAAAAGCCGGCCUCAGUUCAGAUUGUAGGCUGCAACUCGCCUGCAUGAAGAUGGAGUUGCUAGUAACCGCAGGUCAGCAAUACUGCGGUGAAUACGUUCCCGGGUCUU